CUUCCGGUAGGGGUGGACCUGCGGAAGGAUCAUUAAAGAAAUUUAAUAAUUUUGAUAUUGGAUUUUUUUGUUUUGGCAAGAGCGUGAGAGCUUUUACUGGGCAAGAAGACAAGAGAUGGAGAGUCCAGCCGGGCCUGCGCUUAAGUGCGCGGUCUUGCUAGGCUUGCAAAUUUCUUUCUUGCUAUUCCAAACAGUGAGACUUCUCUGUUUUUGUUAUAGGACAAUUAAAACCGUUUCAAUACAACACACUGUGGAGUUUUUAUACUUUUGCAACUUUUUCUUUGGGCUUCGAGCAAUCGAGCCCAGAGGUAACAAACACAAACAAUUUUAUUUAUUCAUUAAAUUUUUGUCAAAAACAAGAAUUUUCGUAACUGGAAAUUUUAAAAAUAAUUAAAAACUUUCAACAACGGAUCUCUUGGUUCUCGCAUCGAUGAAGAACGCAGCGAAAUGCGAUACGUAAUGUGAAUUGCAGAAUUCCGUGAAUCAUCGAAUCUUUGAACGCACAUUGCGCCCCUUGGUAUUCCAGGGGGCAUGCCUGUUUGAGCGUCAUUUCCUUCUCAAACAUUCUGUUUGGUAGUGAGUGAUACUCUCUGGAGUUAACUUGAAAUUGCUGGCCUUUUCAUUGGAUGUUUUUUUUCCAAAGAGAGGUUUCUCUGCGUGCUUGAGGUAUAAUGCAAGUACGGUCGUUUUAGGUUUUACCAACUGCGGCUAAUCUUUUUUGUACUGAGCGUAUUGAAACGUUAUCGAUAAGAAGAGAGCGUCUAGGCGAACAAUGUUCUUAAAGUUUGACCUCAAAUCAGGUAGGAGUACCCGCUGAACUUAAGCAUAGCAAUAAAGCGGAAGAAA
This 846-nucleotide ribosomal RNA is filed under the name Saccharomyces pastorianus. RNAcentral's name for it is "eukaryotic LSU rRNA". The stretch from base 396 to 549 matches the Rfam family "5.8S ribosomal RNA". Lineage: Eukaryota; Fungi; Ascomycota; Saccharomycetes; Saccharomycetales; Saccharomycetaceae. The record is from RNAcentral.